AUGUCUGAUGACUACAGCCGAUCACACACGCGCUCAAAGGCAGUGGAGCAGAUUGUGUUGCUUGACAUCAGGGACAUGCUAUAGUCCAUGGGCAAAGACAUAGUGUUGUUCCCUCUUCCGAACAUCGACGAGACCUAUGACACUACUGGAGGCGAGGCCAGAGAAGUCAUCAAGGAAUCCUCCAUCGUGGUUGUCGCGAACAACGUUGCGUUAGCGUCCUCGCUAAACCCUGAGCAGAAGCUUGCAUACGACGAGAUACUGGCAGCAGUCGAUGCUGGUAAUGGGGGUGUAUUCUUUGUCGAUGGCCCGGGAGGCACUGGGAAGACCUUCCUAUACAAGGCACUGCUUGCAAAGGUUCGAGGCGAGGGCAAGAUCGCGGUGGCUACGGCGACAUCAGGCGUUGCGGCUUCCAUCAUGCCUGGAGGAAGGACAACCCACUCGAGGUUCAAGAUCCCACUCAGCAUUGAAGAUGGUGGGUCAUGCAGCUUCACCAAGCAAAGUGGAACGGCCAAGCUCCUGCACAUGGCUUCACUCAUCCUAUGGGAUGAGGCCACCAUGACGAAGCGGCAAGCAGUUGAGGCACUGGAUAAUAGCAUGCGGGACAUCAUGGGACGACGGGACCGACCAUUCGGGGGAAAGACUGCCGUAUUCGGUGGGGACUUCAGGCGGGUGCUUCCGGUUGUCAGGAAGGGGUCAGAUAAUCGAUGCGACCUUGCGGAGUUCGUACCUAUGGAACGGCAUGCGCCAACUAAGGCUCAUCACCAACAUGAGGGCGCAUAA
This 780-nucleotide ribosomal RNA is filed under the name Triticum aestivum (bread wheat). Its description in RNAcentral is "partial small subunit ribosomal RNA". Lineage: Eukaryota; Viridiplantae; Streptophyta; Magnoliopsida; Poales; Poaceae. The record is from RNAcentral.